UUGUUCAGCCUGGCUCUGUUGCUACACUCCACAGUAUUUUGAUUCCUCCUGCUAUUGCUUCAUACUUCUCAGCUACAUAACUGCUUAUUCCACUAAGUGUGCUUAGGUGUGUGUGUGUGUUUGUAUGCAUGUAUGAGAAAAACAGUAAAUGUACAUUGCACCCCAUCCUACUAUUCUUACUACUGCUAUUGUUAAAACAAUCCUUUAGAGGCUCACAAGAGCUGAACUUUUUCAAACUCAUAGAAAGCCCAGUUCUCUGAGGGUUUCGUUUUUUAUUGUAUUGUGCAGGCCAUUUGAGGCAGUCAAUACAUAUUUUGUGCAGGGCGACAAAAGAGAUGUGACUUGACACUGGCCCUACCCUCCGUGCCACUCAGUAUGGAAUCAGGAUGUUGGACAGAGGGGCUGGGCGCUGGACCUGUUAAAUAUUGACAGCGAGUGUAAUAAUUAACUUUGCACCAACUCCUGAUCUCUUAAACUGGCCGCUCUGCCUCGUUGCCAUUUCGCCGCUGUCACUGCUGACAUUUACAUCUUAAAAAAUGAAAACAUGCACUGCCAAUAUCCACGAAGGUGGGACUUCACCUGUCUCGGUCCCGUGUGCUGAGUUUCUACUCGUCUUGGCUGCAACCCGCGUUCUGCUGCUCCCAGCGCUGGUCCUGUGUGUCACGACACCCUGCUGCUCAAACCUUUGGCCUCCUCUGCAAAAUCCACUGGGCCGCGUUGAGCGCGAAGGCCUUGGCCCUUUGGACAUGCUGUUGGAGCAGCGUGAGCAAUGAUGCCGUUUACUUCAGGUUAUAAAAACUGGGAGGAGGAAAUUGCCAGGUCAAAGUCACUUGCAAGAGGAGACUCCUCUCGUACUAAAGCGGCUGCCUCCGAGUCCAAAUGCUGAGUCCACCUCUGGGCUCUCUUUUGGUGCUUCUCUCCUCUUCAACAAACUGGACCCUGAUCCAAAGACAGGUUUGUUCAUCAGUCCGAGCGGUGUGCCUCGUGCUGUUUAUCAUCGGCGACGAGCCUUCUGGUGCUUGCUGGAUGUAACAGCAACUCCAUGUGGAAGCUGUGUCUGUUCCAGUGGAGGUGCUGUUACUUGCAGAGAUCUACCAAAGACGACAAGAAGCCAGCACGCAAUUGCUUUUAUUUUCCAUUCUGCUUUUUGUUUUGUGAGUGUGUGUUACUACGUCUUUGAAAGAUUGGUAUGUAGCUAAAGAGAGAUGGGGCACAAGGUGAUGACCUAUGAAUUGACAGCCAGUGAUUUCCAGCCUCUGCCUGUCAGUUCUGUAGGCCACUGCUGCGUUCGUCCUGCUGAGCGUGUACAGGUACACGACCGUUUUAUCUCCCACGUGCCUUCACUAAUAAAUAAACUGUGACUUUUUUUGUGAUUUUUUUUAAGGAUGGCAUUGCUGAAAAAAAGUAUACGCGGUGAAUAAAGCCUUAUUGUGUUGCUCAGCGAGUCUGUCAUUUUGCACUGAUGGUCUAUUCAAAUAACCACCUGUAACCUCAAACAGUGAAACUGUAAAUGAUGAGCUCACCCUGAAAGUGCGCCAGCGUAUUGCACGAAUAUAUUUAUGAUCUACUAAUCAUUACAGGACAAUGAUACUAACUGCAAAGAGGAAGUAAGCUCAGUACAAAAGUGUUGAUGUGACACUGGACCACUGCAGAACCUGAUGUGUCCGCAUGCCUGUAAAUGAAACAGGCAACAAGUAGUGCAGAUAAAUUUAACCCUACUAAAAAACCUGACGUAAAUCAGCGAUUUCCAUAUUGGAAAUUAUAUAAUGAAUGUCUUCAUAAUAUAUAAUGUGGCAGGGAGAUAUAUAAUGUCCUCUUAAUUAAAAUGCAACCUCCAGGCAAUUGUAUUAUUAUAAUAAUCAUCCUUAAACAAAGGAUGUUCACUUUUUGAAUGCACCGUUGCAUCAGCAAUUCACUAUUUUAAAUAUGUUGCAUGUUCGUGGGACUAUUAAGUGUUGUAAUGGAUAUUGUUAAUAAAUAAAACAGUGAAUUCUUAUCA
Long non-coding RNA from Oreochromis niloticus (Nile tilapia), 1999 nucleotides. RefSeq lists it as uncharacterized. The record is from RefSeq and is a predicted model, not a curated record. The transcript has 2 exons. NCBI's taxonomy places the organism in Eukaryota, Metazoa, Chordata, Actinopteri, Cichliformes, Cichlidae.